Molecule: ribosomal RNA, 433 nt
Filed under: uncultured Lachnospiraceae bacterium
Lineage: Bacteria; Bacillati; Bacillota; Clostridia; Lachnospirales; Lachnospiraceae
Description: partial 16S ribosomal RNA
Rfam family: Bacterial small subunit ribosomal RNA
Source: RNAcentral
ACGGAGGCAGCAGUGGGGAAUAUUGCACAAUGGGGGAAACCCUGAUGCAGCGACGCCGCGUGAGUGAAGAAGUAAUUCGUUAUGUAAAGCUCUAUCAGCAGGGAAGAAAAUGACGGUACCUGAGUAAGAAGCCCCGGCUAACUACGUGCCAGCAGCCGCGGUAAUACGUAGGGGGCAAGCGUUAUCCGGAUUUACUGGGUGUAAAGGGAGCGUAGACGGCAGUGCAAGUCUGAUGUGAAAGCCCGGGGCCCAACCCCGGAACUGCAUUGGAAACUGUACUGCUAGAGUGCAGGAGAGGUAAGUGGAAUUCCUAGUGUAGCGGUGAAAUGCGUAGAUAUUAGGAGGAACACCAGUGGCGAAGGCGGCUUACUGGACUGUAACUGACGUUGAGGCUCGAAAGCGUGGGGAGCAAACAGGAUUAGAUACCCUGGUA